Molecule: long non-coding RNA, 917 nt
Organism: Micropterus salmoides (largemouth bass)
Lineage: Eukaryota; Metazoa; Chordata; Actinopteri; Centrarchiformes; Centrarchidae
Exons: 5
Source: RefSeq, a predicted model, not a curated record
CAGUCUUGAUCUCUUUGGUUGGCGGUACGGUAGACGUGAGCAGGGAGGCUCCAGCUGCAUCAUGCCGUUUUCACAUGUAGCGAUGCAUUCGUGUAUAAAUAUGGACUUUACUACAGAUGAGCCGCCAUGAACAGGUAAGGAUUGGAUGACUGGUUGAUGUAACGUGAGGAAACUUGGAGGCAGUAGCAUGUGAACUGUACCAGCCCGCUAGCAGUUAGCUAUCCUUGUUAGUCAAGCAAACACGUGGAUGAAGACUACGUCGGGCAAAAGCUACAACUGGAUUUUAAGCAGAUUUGGCUGUUGUGGAAUGAGGAUAUUUUCCUGCCAAAAAAGGGCUGAGCUUUUCGUCGUAAUGAAAGGUUCACGGUUCUUCUGUGCUGCUUGACUCUUCACUGUCGAAAGGGAGGAGACAUGGUGAAGAGGGCUUAUCUGCAAUGCAAGACGGCACAAGGCUGCAGAGAAGUUGAACAGAUGACUUCAGUGGAGAAGUGGACACCACACAGCUUGGAUCAUCCAGAAGUCUGGCGCCACAGUAUAUUAAAUACAGCACAUCUGUCUGAUUAAACCAUGAGUGAUCUAAAAAAUGUUUAUUAAAAUUCCAGCAUCAUGGCACAUGAUAAGUAACAUGAAUCCUACUGGGAGCACCCAGCAUGCGUUAGUCUAUGCUGAAGGAUCAUCUGUAAGAUUUCUUCUUCAAAUUGUCUAAGAAGAACUGUUCUUCUUGGAGGUAUUCACGGUCCUGUGGGCAGGAGAAGAAAGUGAUUGGCACCAGAAAGUUGAACUGUAAUAUGUUCCUGAAAAUAUUAAAUGUACUAGCAGACUUUAAGUAUUGGGGGGGGGGGGUGUAAUUGUGAGUGAGCCGCAUGUUACUGUAAUUAGCCUCUUUAAAUUUUUACAUUAAAGCCUCAAACAACCUC